RNAcentral lists this unclassified non-coding RNA (26 nucleotides) under Mus musculus (house mouse). Its description in RNAcentral is "piRNA piR-mmu-68437713". The record is from RNAcentral. Lineage: Eukaryota; Metazoa; Chordata; Mammalia; Rodentia; Muridae.
UUCCAGUCCAGACUUCCUUGGUGAUG